GCACGGCUUCUGAUGGGCUGCAGGAAGCUCCUGCAGCCAAUCGGAAGCCGUGGAAGUCCCGUUGGACAUUCGGCUUCCAAAAGAACGUUCAAAAACCGGAACAGUCACUUCCGGUUUUCAACCGUUCAGGAGCCGGAACGUUCAACUCCCAAGGUGUUCGGGAGCCGAGGUACGACUGUAAUGUCCUGGCAACUGCUACUACUUAGGGGGUCUAAAACUGAUACAUUUUUACUUAAACAUAUUUUUAUAACUGUUAUUUUAUAAUACAGAGCAACAGGGCAGCAGAAAUCAUGAGAGAAAGGAUAACCAGCUUCACGGAUUUUCCCACAUCACAUUUUUUUUACAUAGCACACAAACACAUUGUGAAUUACGAUCUAUUGCCAUGUCAAAUAUUAUGAAACCCCAUCACGAUGUGGACUUCAAGCCGAUUUUGGAUGAUGUAUUGAUGCAUUACCGAGCACCACUGCAAUUCAAUACUCAGGACUAAGCUCAGUGGGAGUGGCCACUGAGUAAAUAACAGGAGACUCAUAUACAUGUCUACUCAGAAGCAAGUCCCACUUAAUUCAAUGAGGCUUAUUCCCUUGCACUGCAGUCUUAGUGACUAACAUCUCAUUUACAGUUUUCUGCUAAAGGGAGACCUGAAUGCUUCAGCAAAGAAAAUUGAAUUAGGUUUCUGUUGCAAGCCGCAAUCCUAGAAAGUGAGCACAUCACUCUUUAAAACUGAUAUGCUCCAGACCCUGAAAUGCUUAGGGCCAUCAGGGAAAAUAUAAUGUAAAUUAAAAUUAAAAUGGCUUCAGAAGAAGACUCAGCGGCAGCUUCAAGUAGAACAACCAUUCAAUUACGCGUGUACAGUAUUCCAGUUUAUUUUACAAGUCACUGUAGAAGAGAAGUGAAGAGAGAAGUAAUGAAAACAAGUAAUCAAUAGAAUCAUUUUGAGAAAGGAGCUGAGGGAGCAAUAGGCAGCUCAGACACAUGCAUGUACAACAGUUGAUUUCUCACUGCUUGAUUACUCAACCUGAGCGAGCCUGCAAAAAUGAAAGCAAACAACGUCUCUUAUUAGUGAAGCCAUGAAAUGAGACUGACGUUGCCUGGUCUAUGCACACUUCUUGCGCAGAAGUAAAAUGCCAUGGAGUUUAGUGGGGCUUAUUCCAGUUUAGCAUGCAUAACAUAAACAGGUUUCCUUGAUUUCUCUAGCCAAAGCAACAGUUUUCAACCUUGCCCACUUUUCAGUAUUUUAUCAUGAGCCUACCGCAGAGGCUUAUUUUGUUUAACUGAACCCCAAACACCAAGGUUUGUUUAUCAUCUAACAAGAACUGAGCAUGCCACGGCAGUUACAAGUAUGGUUUACAAGCAGUAAAAUUCUUAAACCAGCAUAUAUUUCGAUUCUGGUGGAUGGCCCAGUGAUUUUUUAAAAAAUUCAUUUUUUUAUUUGCAAAUUUAACAAGGAAAGAGAACAAAAGGGGGGAAAUGAAGUUUGUAGAGAUGACACAUGCUACAAGGCAGACUUGCCCAGUGAUCUGGAAUUGCAGGAAAAUAUAGGCCUGUGUGUUUUGUUUUCCAAAUCAUGGUUUUUAAAAAUAAUAAAAAUACCUGUGAUUUUACUCUGUACAGUCUUUUACAAUGUUUGUAAGCUGCCACUGGAGUAGAUAUAUUGAAAAGAAUGCAACACAAAUAAAUAAUAAAAUAAAAAGAUAAUCAAAGCCUACAUUUUUAGAAUUUACCAGUGUGUUCUGGUUUAUUUAAAGGUUUCGAUGGAUAAAAUGAAAUUUCAGAGGCAAAACCUUAACAAGAGAGAGAGAAAAGAAGGAACUCUACUGAGUCCCAAAUCUGGAAUUAUUUUAGAUUAUUAGAUGUCAGCUGUUCAUCAGGCAGGGAAAACAAAACUGAAAUUAAUUCACAGGAACCAGCAUCAUAUUAUUAUUCAACUGUUUAGAAAAAGUGCCUGGGAUAUUUUCCUGUCCCAUGAAUCUCCUGAAUUUAAAUGCAGUGUUGCUAUGAGCUGGUGACGAGACAAAAUGUAUUGAUAAGCCUUGCCUUAUUAACUGCUUCAAUUACCAUUACUGCUGACUGAAGGGGAAAAAUAUUCCCAAACCAGGCCAAUAGCUCAGCAAGAGCUCUGAAAUUGUAGUUGUGGAAAAAUGAUUUUUAAAAUACAAUUGGCAUGACUGCUCUCAUCCACUCCAACACAGAGAAAGACACAACAGAACUGAGAGAAUAUUUUGGACUUCUGGCUCCUACAGUUCUAAGCAUGUGUCUAGUUUUCCUUUCCUCCUUUUGCUCCCUUUUAACUGCAAAAUGAAAAUGCCUCUUAUAAUGCUAUCCAAGGCAUGCCUACUCAGAAGUAAGUUCCCUGGGGCUCACUCUUAGAGAAGCAGGAUCAAAAUGGCAGCCUUAAUGUAUAUUCUGACCAAAUAUAUUUUGUAAACUCGGUACAGUAUGUUGUCCUCAUUUUGUUGAAGCUGUGAUUACUCGUAUCUGCUUUUUCAAAAGUUAUUUAUAGUACAGUAUUAGCAAACAGAUUUCCCCACCAUCUGAAACAUGAAAAAUUGGACGUUUUCAUAAAGAUUUCUGAGUUGUUGUGCGCAAUUUAAAAUCCUGCACCUACAUUAGUCCGCAUUUCUAGGGAAUUCUUUCCUAAGCACUACACUUCACAAAAAUAGACAGACAGACAGACAGACAGUCUAACACAGGUAGUAGAGAUUUCUCCUAAUAACAGAGUAACAUGUGAAUAGGGCUUCUAUCUAGCCUAUGAAAUACCUUUAACAAGUCCAUAAAUUUAUUCUAAGCUUCUAAAGUAGGCAUCAGAAUUACGUAUGUAUCUAAUAUAUGUAUAUUAUGGGGUGGGGAUUGUUUAAAUGUUCGCCCCAGAAUUUUGACUAGCACCUCUGGGCAUGGCAAAUAAACCAUAAUUAUUUUU
Podarcis raffonei (Aeolian wall lizard) is the source of this 2917-nucleotide long non-coding RNA. RefSeq lists it as uncharacterized. The transcript is spliced from 2 exons. Lineage: Eukaryota; Metazoa; Chordata; Lepidosauria; Squamata; Lacertidae. The record is from RefSeq and is a predicted model, not a curated record.